AAAGAUUCAAUGUUGUCAACAUACUGAGGGCAAAACCAUAUAAGUUACCUGCGCACAUAGUUAUUUAGUGGAGUGAAAGGUGCUGGACCGAAUGUUGCCGAGCGGCAUUUCAUAGCCAUUGAACAUUAAGUGCAAGCUGCGCUUCACCCAAAGAGCCCGGAAUACUAUCAAGUGUGUAAUCCAGGAGCAUGGACAAACAAGUGAACGAACCAGUUGUGCCUCAAGAUGCAAAGACAGCAGUCACCGCAUGCCCAACACGGAGGUUCAAAGACAAGAAUAAACCAGAAUCUGCACCAAGUGACAGACAGCACGAUGCUAAAGAAAUGGGCAACCAGACUUCAACUCCAAAGUGACGACGCAUGCCACUACGUACUGUGAUAUGACAGCAUUGCUCAAUAAUCCCACGACGGCCCUGCCCAGGUGACCUUCAAUAGAGUAAUUCACACAACACUUGUUUUCUUUCAAAGUGUAUUUUCACUGAUGACUUUUCAUCAACACUGUACUUUCAGGGUUGAGUCAUGAAAUAAAAUGACAAUGGACAAAAAAA
Long non-coding RNA from Rhipicephalus microplus (southern cattle tick), 547 nucleotides. Lineage: Eukaryota; Metazoa; Arthropoda; Arachnida; Ixodida; Ixodidae. The record is from RefSeq and is a predicted model, not a curated record.